RNAcentral lists this long non-coding RNA (729 nucleotides) under Struthio camelus australis. Its description in RNAcentral is "lncRNA (ENSSCUG00000018200.1)". Lineage: Eukaryota; Metazoa; Chordata; Aves; Struthioniformes; Struthionidae. The record is from RNAcentral.
CCGGCGUGGCCACCCCCCAGUCUCGGCUACUCCGCAGGCCUCUCGGGAAACCCUCCUGCAAGCAGCACAACUUCUGCAGUGGGAGCAGCUCCGGCACCUGGCCAAAACAGGGCAGACGGGGAAGAUCAGCGAGUGCAUGCUGGCCCGGUACAGGAGCAGGGCAGAGGACUACGUGGGCCAGAGCCUACCGUUCCUGCAGGACCCCCAGGCAUCGUUGCGAGAGGCGGCCGUGAGGUUCAUCGCCCUUCAGCCCCUCCAGAACGACAGCCAUCCCUGCGUCAGUGCCCUGGCAACACAGACCAUCCUGAUGCUGAGGCCUCCACAGGAAAACUCCCCGUCAGCAUUUAGCCUACGAGCCCUGCGCUCUCGGCUCCGCAGAAGCUGGGUGAUGUGGCACGUGCUUCUGGGCUGUUGCUCGGUUGGAGCAGAGCUAGAGCAGCAAUGCUGACGCUGGCGUGCUCUGCCCCCUGAGGCCCCACAGCUGAGCAUGCUGCACAGCCGGGCUCCUCCCUGCCUGCCUGCAGGGCAGCUGCCCUGCUCAGGCAUGCCCCGUCCCCAGUGGUGCUCUACAAGUUCACCCCUUGCUUGUGCUGUUCCCAAAGAAGCAGCCCUGUUUCUUCACCACGUUUGCCUUGUCUUUGCGGCGACAGAAGCAAAAGAGAAAACUCUGCCCCUAAAAGAGUCACGGUUGUCUUGCGAGUGGCACAAUGGCCACUCUUCCCAGCAGCC